GAGCCAUUUUGAAAUCUGGCCUUUGCACGGUAACUCAGCCAUUGGCUUUUCAUGCUUUAUGUGACAUUUAUCUGAUCCCAGAAGCCCCGGUCCCUUUCUUUUCGAAUGAAAGCUGUCUUGGUAGGUCCAUGAGUUUUGAAACUGUUUGUUAGAAAAAGAUUUUCACAAGGAGUAACAAUGACUUUUCCCCUUCACUGGGCCAUAUCUUUUCCGAUUUGCCACUGUUAAUAAAUAUUCUCAUUUCCAAAAUCUGGAUGGAGGGGAGAAAGAGGUAUAAAGAGAUAAUUUUUCGGAAUUCUCCACACUAGUGUGUUCCCUAGACAAAAUAUUGUUUUGUUGUUUAAAAGAGUGAAAAUAAGUGACCCUAACCUUGAAGUGCCUGAAGUGCAGCCAGUGAGAGUUCCUGACAGAAGCCAGUUCUUCAAGAUCCAAGUUAUUUCAUUAUUUUCAAGAAUAGAAUAUCUCAGUCUUUUCUCUGAAACAUUUACUACUGACCACUGUCACUCUCCUCGAAAAAUGAAAUUUUAGAUAGGUGUGUGAUAGCAGAUUUUACCUUCCUGACGAGAAAACAGUGAAGGUAAUGUCACAUGCUUGCCCCUUGGGCAAAACUCUGCUGUGGGAAUAACAUGGUCUAACUCAAUAGGGCUGUCCAAAAAAAGGAGGUAGGGCACAGAGUAUGUAGCCAGUGCUUAUACACCAAGUCUCUAGUUUUUAGUCUUUACCUUCUUGGUACCUGUAAAGAAAAAAGUCUGAGAAUGAGAAGAUGAAAGGCAAAAUCUGUUGGAUGUACACUGAUGUGGCCUACCUGGUAAAGAAACAGUGCAAAUGGGACAAAAACAAUCUACGGCACAAUGCGGGAGUUUAUUUGUAGUUAUCCUCCUAAGGAUAACUAAUGAUUGGAACGCCUUUCAGAAUACAGUAGAAGACAUCACCAAAUAAAACCUGAGUGCAGCAGUCCUUUGAAAGAAGGGACUGAUGACAACAGAAGUCUCUGGCAAUGUUUGAGAUGAUUUUUGUCAGGACAGCUGGUUUCUCCUCUCAUUAGUCUUUUGGAGAGGCACCCUCUAUUAAAAUGGCACAUGAUACCCCUUUUCCUCCCCUUCUCUCCCCCUUCUCUAGCCACCUCGCUAGUAUUACAUUGUUUGCCCCAUAUUCUAAAUAGUGUUUACUUUAAACCUUCUUUGAUUCAGUUACUUCACCUUGGCAUCCCAUCAGCUGGCAAACACAAGUAAUGAAGUGAAGGGAACAUAGUUAAGUUGAUAUCUUAAAUGCACACAAAUCCCAUAUGCUGUGGCAACAACAAAAUGAAUAACAAACACACUGCAUGAAAAUCCUCUUAAGUUCCUUUUUUUUUUCAAUUCCAGCCUUGCAUUCAACAGGAGGAACAUCUUAAAAAAUAAUCCCGUAAUAUUCCUGAACUAACAGCAUUGGCAUGAGGCACAGGAUGGUCUUAUGCUUCUCUGCAUAUCUCAGACAAUCACAGCUGCUGCUAGUAAAUUAAUGGCUGCAAGGGGGUUGGGAGAGGGAGAACGAGGAGAAAAAAGGGAAAUGGAAAGCCUUGUAGGUGGCCUUGUCUCCGCCAAAACUAAAUAUUUUCAUUGGAGCUUUUUCCAUUCAACAAUUGGCAGCUUUAUCCAGAGGCCUUAAACAGACAGAAAAAUUCUUACUGUUUUAAGAGUGACUGCUAAUGGGAUGCAGCACUAUCUGCUAAUGUACAUGAACAAAUAUCUAUUUAAUAAUAGAAUUGUUUUCUCCUAAGGUGCCUUUCUUCUUUCUUUUCUUUUAAAUUCUUGCCUGUGGGUCUGCCCGCUUCCCUUUGCCCUAGAAAUUAAACCUUAGUACUUUCUUUACACAAGAUUUAUGCUAGAAACGUUGGCUGGUAUUUCAUUGUCAGUCAGGGUGUGAUUCUGCUGUGACAUUUCCAGCUAUAUUUUUAUGGCAGCUGCAGUUAAACCAACAUCGAGCAUAAAAACAAACAUUUUUUUUCCCUGCCAGGGUUUGUUUACAUCAGUGAACCAGACUAAAAGGUGAACUACCCAAAGCACUUUUUUUUACAUCUGCCCUAGAGGGCUUUGCUAGGAUGGAUAUAGCUGGACUGCCAGCAGCUCAAACGGGCUGUGCAUAUGCCUGUGCAUGUGUGCGCAGAAGGUAGCUGAAGUGCGGAGUGAACAGCGAAAGAAAAAAGAGGUCUAACAUGCAAUCUGUUAUUCUGGUGUUUGGGUGAAAAACCCCAAAGUGCUGAAUUUUGGAGAAGAAUCAGCAGGGCAUCCUGACACAUUCAAGACCAGCUGACUUACACUGUGUUGGAUUCAGUGGAGGUGGUUGAAGAGGUUGCUGACUUCUGCCUGCCCACCUCACCUCAGCCAGAGCUUAUUGCUGUCAGAAGCAGGCCAUGAUAGAACAACUCACCUGGUUGUUCCUCAGCUGCCCCAGGUAGCAACCUCCUGUGUUAAUUUGAUUCAGAGAAAUUGUUCCCAACAAAUGCUUUAUUUGUAACAGUCCUGUAAAAGAUCUGGUUUUUAUUGUCAAAGCUUCCAGCCUGCUCUGGACUUUUCCAGUUGGAUUGGAAGGGUGGACAGAGCAUGCAGGAAGAAUGCUAUUAAUCUAGAAAGUGAUUUGGUAGCCACAGUCAGUACUUAAUCGGCAUGGACAGUUAUCCUUGGGGCUGUAGUCCUUAGUGCUAAUAAUCAAUGGCCAAUGGCUCUUUUCUUCGCCUACCUCCCGCCUUAAGGAAAGCAGAGCCCACCAAAUCAGUGGUGAGAAGGACAUAGGGGGAAAGCAGAAAAAAACCCAAAGGAGAUGCCAGGCAGGUCCUGUGGUGGUGGGAGGGAGGGAUCCUGGUGAGGCAGAGGGAGAACAGUGGGAAAGGAGGCAUGCAGGGCCCCAGGAUGCAGGAGACUAGGAAGACCCUGAGCAAGAAUGGUAUGGGAACCUGCAAUCAGUGGGAGUCCCUCAUUUACUCACUGAAACGUACUUUCCCUCCUUCUCAGAAGAGGCUCAGAAGUGGUGCUAGCAGUUCAGAACUGUCCAGCUGCCAUGCCUUUUCCACUGGAAACUUUUCCCAGUUUCCUGGGACCGUCCUCUGUCUCCCUUUUCCCUCUCUGGCACAUAGUCUUUGCAUUGUUAAAUAUUGAUGCAUUGUCAUUCCGCAAGGUUCUCUGCCACUUUAAUUUCUUUGGCCUUAUGUGUUGUUUUCUCUUCAGUGCUUGCUUUCAACCUCUUGGGACCCAGGGGGAGAGAGGAGUGGGGGGAGACGGAUGUAAAUUAACUAUCAUCUACUGUAAAUCAGUGUAAUUCCACUGACUACAAUGAAGCUGCACUGAAUUACUGUAGCUGAAAACCUGCUUUGUCAUGUCUCCCUCUUCUGUGUAUUUUAUAUUGCCUGUUGUGGAAAAAAAAACCCAGCAGAAAAGCACUCCACCAAAACUCGAGUUCUUUCUGUUUUGCUCUCCUAAGAGGUGCAGCUGUAUGCUAAUAGUCUACUUCUCUAGCGGGAAAUAGAAAGGGCUAUAGCAUGCUUUGAUAAACCGGGAAGCAGACUCUGACGCUAGUGUGCAAGGAGAGAAACAUACGGAGCUUUUUUCCCCCUCUUCUCUCCCUCACAUCAAUUUCACACUCUUUUAGUUCUGUUGACCUCCAUGGAGUCCCUCCUAAUUUACAGCGCCAUAAACAAAAUCGGAACGAUGCCCUCUGAAAUGUGCAGAAUUGUUUUCGGCUUGCACUGAAGAACACGGCGUAUUCCAGGGAUUUGCAAAGGCAUCUCUCUACUUGUGCUGAGGAAGAUUUUUUCCUGGCCACCUCACCUGCCUGUGGUGACUUCCCUUGAAGAGGGCUCUCUGAGCAGGACACCUCUCUCACCGGAGGCACCCUGCCAGGAAAGCUCCAGGUGAAACUGAUACCAUCUUGGGACAGUGGUGAUCCCUAAAUAAAGGGAUCACACUAGUAAUCCUAACAAACGCAUUUACCACUUGAGUGGUUAGAUUGUGAAAGGGUGGUAAUUAAAAAAGGAAAUGUUUCGCACGUGAAGUUUUCCUUUGUGAGAGUGACACCGAGACUGCUGCUGAUGUUACGGGGUACUUCACUCCGACAGCUGAGAAACAGGCUGCGUGCACUUUGACAGCCAGUUGACAGCAGCAUAAGAGUGGCUGUGCGGUCUGCCCAAGGAGAGGACUGAUCCGGUUGAAAAGUCAUCACCAUUCUUUUGGUAGAAGUAGUGUUGGGCUGGAUUACCUCCUUGCUCCAGGUGACCUUUCUGCCACACGUGCUAGCGGAAGGGAGGCAACACAGACACUGGGCUAAGGGCAGGACCCUCCACCUCUUUUGGUGGCUGUCUGCAUUGUAGGUCAGCUUAGUCUAAGAGCCAAAACACGCUGUGAGGAGAAAGAGGUCAAAGAUUCGACAAAAUUUGGUCAAUGCUUUUACUGAAGGCUGAAGAACCUGACAGCAUGAUGCUUCUUAGACCACUGAAAGUCCUGCUGGCAUGGCAGUGGGUUGGACCAUCCUGACAUUUGGGUAAAAAAAGAGCCAACCCACAAGAAAAGGAAAGGCUCUUUCAUGUAUCUAUCCCGCAGCAAAAAUGGGCAAGAAAAUCCAUUUCUCUCCUGUAAGUAUAUCUCUAUAUAUUUGCUUCAAAAUUCAAAUUCUCAUCCAAAAGCUCAUCAUAGGGUGGUGCUGGUUGGGAGUCCUCCUGCCUUCUGCCCAAGACCUCCAUGUUGCACUUGAAGAGCAGUCUGAUUUUCCAACUCAUCUGUGCUCAGCCUGCUCCCCGGCCCUGCAUGGUGAACCGCAGUUCAGGUCUGCCGGGUUGGAGCCAGCGGGAUGCAUCCGCCACACCUGCCUCACAGCAGCAGUGGUGCAUCUGGAUGAAAGAUGAGUUUCGGAUUUCACAGGCGUUCUUGGGCCCAAGAUAAAGUGGCACAGCCAUCCAUCAUAUGGAUGAGUGCAGACUGAGCAAAGAAAGACCUGGACCAAAACAGUUUUCUAGGUGUUUAGUGAGGAGGUAAAAGUCGUUCCCUCCCCGUAGGGCAGAGGAGCUCAUGGAUGCGAUUACCAGUGGUGGGUGUGUGGCAGCAUGUAAGCCCAGUCUGGGCAGGCUGGCAUGCUGCAGUGUGGAAGAGGAUCAACCUGCUAGCGAGCCUGCAGGUUGCAUCCCAGGAUGUGCAAGUGGCCAGUGAGGUGCCUGGUGGAGCAGUCACCCAUGUACCUACAUGAUGUGAAAGAGGUAUCACUUUGUUUUGUGUGUGCACACCUCCAUCUGGAAAUAGAAGCCAAGAGGAAAAAAAAAAGGAAGAAAUAAAGUGUUAGGAGGUUUCUGGUUAGUCUGGCCCAGCACUGAAUUUAAAAGCAUGGUGAAAUAUUCAUUAUUUGUGGGCAGUAAUAGUUAUAUCAUGCAUUAACAGGGAAGAGAGGAAAAAAGAUACUCUUGGACACUGUUGAAAACAGGCUGACAUCCCUAUGAUAUUGUCUGUGGGUCUUGCAUCUCCCAGGUGCUGUUGGUCCACUGCAAUGAUUCCCAUGGAGCUGGAUUCCCUUUGGAGCCAGGCCAAUUCAUACCAAGUUCUUCUUACCGCUCCUGUAACUUGCAGAUCUAAGGCUUCAUUUAUAGUGAACCCGCCACAUGAAAGGCAGCGCGUCAGUGGUGGUGGUUGUUCUUUUGGCUCCGAUGACGGAGAUUGCUUUGCUACUGGGGAAGUUCAAGGGCAGUUGCUCACACUUGCUUGCACGGCCUGGGCUGACCCAGGGCAGACCCACUUCACAUCUCUGAAGCUAUGGCAGAUGCUCCUUGCUCUGGAGUUCAUUCGUGCUUUGCAAAAAGGCC
Molecule: long non-coding RNA, 5818 nt
Organism: Aquila chrysaetos chrysaetos
Lineage: Eukaryota; Metazoa; Chordata; Aves; Accipitriformes; Accipitridae
Exons: 4
Source: RefSeq, a predicted model, not a curated record